Molecule: ribosomal RNA, 253 nt
Filed under: uncultured bacterium
Lineage: Bacteria
Description: partial 16S ribosomal RNA
Rfam family: Bacterial small subunit ribosomal RNA
Source: RNAcentral
UACGUAGGGGGCAAGCGUUGUCCGGAAUCAUUGGGCGUAAAGCGCGUGUAGGCGGCUCGAUAAGUCCGUUCUGAAAGUCCAGGGCUCAACCCUGGGAUGCGGAUGGAUACUGUCGAGCUCGAGUCCGGAAGAGGCGAGUGGAAUUCCUGGUGUAGCGGUGAAAUGCGCAGAUAUCAGGAGGAACACCAAUGGCGAAGGCGGGUCUCUGGGCCGUAACUGACGCUGAGGAGCGAAAGCGUGGGGAGCGAACAGG